UACGGGGAAAGAUUUAUUGCCGAAGGAACGGCCCGCGUCCGAUUAGCUAGUUGGUGAGGUAAUGGCUCACCAAGGCGACGAUCGGUAGCUGGUCUGAGAGGAUGACCAGCCUCACUGGGACUGAGACACGGCCCAGACUCCUACGGGAGGCAGCAGUGGGGAAUAUUGGACAAUGGGCGCAAGCCUGAUCCAGCCAUGCCGCGUGGAUGAUGAAGGCCCUAGGGUUGUAAAGUCCUUUUAACGGGGAAGAUAAUGACGGUACCCGUAGAAUAAGCCCCGGCUAACUUCGUGCCAGCAGCCGCGGUAAUACGAAGGGGGCUAGCGUUGCUCGGAAUUACUGGGCGUAAAGCGCACGUAGGCGGCUUUUUAAGUCGGAGGUGAAAUCCUGGAGCUCAACUCCAGAACUGCCUUCGAUACUGGAGAGCUCGAAGUUCGGGAGAGGUGAGUGGAACUGC
This 455-nucleotide ribosomal RNA is filed under the name uncultured bacterium. RNAcentral describes it as "bacterial SSU rRNA". It matches the Rfam family "Bacterial small subunit ribosomal RNA", at positions 196 to 670 of the family's 1533-position model. The record is from RNAcentral.